Molecule: ribosomal RNA, 253 nt
Filed under: uncultured bacterium
Lineage: Bacteria
Description: partial 16S ribosomal RNA
Rfam family: Bacterial small subunit ribosomal RNA
Source: RNAcentral
UACAUAGGGCGCAAGCGUUGUCCGGAAUUAUUGGGCGUAAAGAGCUCGUAGGCGGCUUGUCACGUCGGGUGUGAAAGCCCGGGGCUUAACCCCGGGUCUGCAUUCGAUACGGGCUAGCUAGAGUGUGGUAGGGGAGAUCGGAAUUCCUGGUGUAGCGGUGAAAUGCGCAGAUAUCAGGAGGAACACCGGUGGCGAAGGCGGAUCUCUGGGCCAUUACUGACGCUGAGGAGCGAAAGCGUGGGGAGCGAACAGG